AGGCUUUCAAGAUCCGGUUGUGGU
This 24-nucleotide non-coding RNA is filed under the name Arabidopsis thaliana (thale cress). Lineage: Eukaryota; Viridiplantae; Streptophyta; Magnoliopsida; Brassicales; Brassicaceae. The record is from RNAcentral.